CCUGAGGAGCAGCCUCUAGUUCAGCUCUCAGAGAUGGGGUCCUGGGCUCCUUUCCUGUGGAUCCUCCUGCUCUGGGCUCCAGGAUGCAAUGGGGACAUUGUGCUGACCCAGUCUCCAGCCUCUCUGGCCGUGUCUCCAGGGCAGAGGGCCACCAUCACCUGCAGAGCCAGUGAGAGUGUCAGUUUAUUUGGAAUAAACUUCAUUCACUGGUAUCAGCAGAAACCAGGACAACCUCCUAAACUCCUGAUUUACCAAGCAUCCAAUAAAGACACUGGGGUCCCAGCCAGGUUCAGCGGCAGUGGGUCUGGGACCGAUUUCACCCUCACAAUUAAUCCUGUGGAAGCUGACGAUGCUGCAAAUUAUUACUGUCUGCAGAGUAAGGAUCUUCCUCGGACGUUCGGCCAAGGGACCAAGCUGGAAAUCAAACGAGCUGUGGCUGCACCAUCUGUCUUCAUCUUCCCGCCAUCUGAAGAUCAGGUGAAAUCUGGAACUGUCUCUGUUGUGUGCCUGCUGAAUAACUUCUAUCCCAGAGAGGCCAGCGUAAAGUGGAAGCUGGAUGGUGCCCUCCAAUCGGGUAACUCCCAGGAGAGUGUCACAGAGCAGGACAGCAAGGACAACACCUACAGCCUGAGUAGCACCCUGACGCUGAGCAGCACAGACUACCAGAGUCACAAAGUCUAUGCCUGCGAAGUCACCCAUCAGGGCCUGAGCUCGCCCGUCACCAAGAGCUUCAACAGAGGAGAGUGUUAGAGGGAGAAGUGCCCCGGGCCCCCCACUUGCUCCUUAGCCCCAGCCUCACCCCCUCCCAUCCUUUGGCCUCUGGCCCUUUUCCCACAGGGGAGCUACCCCUAUUUCGGUCCUCGAGCUCAUCUUUCACCUCAUCCUCCUCCUCCUCCUUGGCUUUAAUUAUGCUAAUAUUGGAGGAGAAUUAAUAAAUAAAGUGAAUCUUUGCACCUGU
Molecule: non-coding RNA, 958 nt
Organism: Cercocebus atys (sooty mangabey)
Lineage: Eukaryota; Metazoa; Chordata; Mammalia; Primates; Cercopithecidae
Source: the annotation of a RefSeq genome assembly